RNAcentral lists this long non-coding RNA (409 nucleotides) under Homo sapiens (human). RNAcentral describes it as "non-protein coding lnc-FNDC1-5:2". Lineage: Eukaryota; Metazoa; Chordata; Mammalia; Primates; Hominidae. The record is from RNAcentral.
AAAACAGCAGGGCGCUCUCUCAAGUCUCCUCUUACUGUGCCAUCGUGGGGAACAGUCUCAUAGCAUGAUAUGGAGCUGGAGAGGAGGGGAGAGGAGAACAGAAGGCAAGGUGGGAAAGGACACCUGGCAGAGACAACAUCUGGAUCCUGAACCUGGAGGAGAAAUCCACUUAUAUCUCACUUUAGAUUUGCCAGCUGCUUUUAUUUUUAUUUGGACUUACAGAAAGGUUGAGAAGAAAAUACGGGAGUGAACUGUAGCAAUAAACGGUUUGUGGGUAAUUUUGGUACUUUAAUGUGGCUUCUAAAAUGUGUACUACAUGACUUAGGAAGGAAUAUUUAAGGAGCCCAGCUGCACUAACGUGGGUUGCUAUUGUGUUAUUACUAAAAUAGCUGAGAGAGACUCUCUGUGC